GACGAACGCUGGCGGCGUGCCUAAUACAUGCAAGUCGAGCGGACGAAUCGAAAGCUUGCUUUUGAUUCGUUAGCGGCGGACGGGUGAGUAACACGUGGGCAACCUGCCCUGUAGACGGGGAUAACACCGAGAAAUCGGUGCUAAUACCGGAUAACACGAAAUGUCGCAUGACGUUUCGUUGAAAGACGGCGCAAGCUGUCGCUACAGGAUGGGCCCGCGGCGCAUUAGCUAGUUGGUGAGGUAACGGCUCACCAAGGCGACGAUGCGUAGCCGACCUGAGAGGGGGAUCGGCCACACUGGGACUGAGACACGGCCCAGACUCCUACGGGAGGCAGCAGUAAGGAAUCUUCCGCAAAGGACGAAAGUCUGACGGAGCAACGCCGCGUGAGCGAAGAAGGCCUUCGGGUCGUAAAGCUCUGUUGUUAGGGAAGAACAAGUAACGCAGUAACUGGCGUUACCGUGACGGUACCUAACGAGAAAGCCGCGGCUAACUACGUG
RNAcentral lists this ribosomal RNA (498 nucleotides) under uncultured bacterium. Its description in RNAcentral is "partial 16S ribosomal RNA". It matches the Rfam family "Bacterial small subunit ribosomal RNA", at positions 28 to 507 of the family's 1533-position model. The record is from RNAcentral.